AAUUUAAAAUCAACUUGCUAAAACUAAAGUAGUAACAUAAAAUAAAAUGAUAAACUAAAAAGUAACAUGUUAAACUUAAAUUUCUAUGGAAAAACUAAAUCUCUAGUCAUUCUCGACUUCCAUGGCCACCUCAACUCCAGAACUGCAAAACUUAAAACUUGCUUUGAAAAUAUUUUUGACGAAACAUAAAUACGUUGAUUCCUGAUAAAAAAAAAUUAAACUCCUCUAUCCGAAAAGAAAAAGAAGAAG
RNAcentral lists this long non-coding RNA (249 nucleotides) under Salvia miltiorrhiza (redroot sage). RNAcentral describes it as "long non-coding RNA (SMIL_LNC014376)". The record is from RNAcentral. Lineage: Eukaryota; Viridiplantae; Streptophyta; Magnoliopsida; Lamiales; Lamiaceae.